RNAcentral lists this long non-coding RNA (1170 nucleotides) under Sarcophilus harrisii (Tasmanian devil). RNAcentral's name for it is "lncRNA (ENSSHAG00000022614.1)". Lineage: Eukaryota; Metazoa; Chordata; Mammalia; Dasyuromorphia; Dasyuridae. The record is from RNAcentral.
UAUUGCCAAAGGCAGGCACUGGAAGUAGGGGUGGGAGUGUGGGGGGAAGAAGCAGAGAGUGUUCUCUGGCCCCCUGGAGUGUGUUUGUGUGUUAGCUUGUACAUGUGGCUUCUUUAGAGUGCUUCCUUAACCCUAGCACCCACCUAGGCCUCCUUCCCCUCCAACUUCCCCUCCUCUCCCACUCCCCAACCUGGAAACUGGAUAAACACACUGGGCCGCCUCACCAUGCAUCCAUUCUACAGUAUCUGAAAUGCAGGACAUGCAGGCGUAAAAGAGAAAAGGCGAACCAUGUAAACGAGGUGCUGCAGAGAACUGAGGGGAGCUCUGGAGAGACCUCCCUGGGACAGGAGGGAAGUGGGUGUAUCCCUCAUCUCACCGCAGCUCUGGCUCUCCCUGACCUGGGAUGCAUUGCUGGGCUAACCCUCUGGGCCCUGGACACCGGAGGUGGGGAAGGGUAUCCUCUUUUUUGAGCCCACCCCUGGCAGGGGUGGAGAGGGAUGGGAGGAAGCCCUGCCCACUUUGGCCAGUGGGACCCUAGUCUGUCUCCUAAUCCUGUCACACCCAACUUCUCAAUGUCUCAAAAAUGGGUAUCUUAGCUUUUGUUCUUCCAAUUUGUAGGAUCCAAGUCCUCAUUUUCUGGGAAGGGAUCCCAGGAGACAUAGAAUUUCCUAUCCACUAUUGAGGCAAGGGAGCUUGGCGGGGGAGAGGAAUGGUUUGAUUGCUUCCCCAUCUCCCCUAGGUUUCUUCUUUCCAAGUGCCAAAAUUAGGUUCCAAGAAGGAUGAGUAUAAGACCACCUCGGAAUCUUUUCUCUGGUUCUUUUCACUGUGGCUAGUUCCUGUUUCUCUUUGUGCCUAGUCUAGGGGUAGGGUGGGCAUCAUCUCUGAGUGGAACGGGGAAGGAAAGGGGGAGGCAAGAUGGUGGGGUUGGGGUGGCCAGAGCCGAUCACUAACCUGUUGGACAACGGAGGUGGCUACAGCCUUCUCUCCAGGAGCUCCAUAUUAGCGUACAGCAAAAAGGCACCACAUAUAGGUUUCUAUUAAAUAGUCAAAAAAUUGGCCCAUCUCUCCUUUUUUUUUUGUUUCUUUUUUUUUUCCGAAGCUGUAAAUCAAGAUGUUACAUAUAAAUAGAGUUUCCUAUAAAAAAGUCUUUGCUAUUAGCUAUUAUAAGAC